RNAcentral lists this ribosomal RNA (494 nucleotides) under uncultured bacterium. RNAcentral's name for it is "partial 16S ribosomal RNA". It matches the Rfam family "Bacterial small subunit ribosomal RNA", at positions 28 to 507 of the family's 1533-position model. The record is from RNAcentral.
GACGAACGCUGGCGGCGUGCUUAACACAUGCAAGUCGAACGGUGAAGCGCCUUCCUUUUUGGUGGGUGUGGAUGAGUGGCGAACGGGUGAGUAACACGUGAGUAACCUGCCCCCUUCUUCUGGAUAACCGCAUGAAAGUGUGGCUAAUACGGGAUAUUCUGGGUCUGUCGCAUGAUGGGUCUGGGAAAGAUAUUGUUUCGGUGGGGGAUGGGCUCGCGGCCUAUCAGCUUGUUGGGGGGGUGAUGGCCUACCAAGGCGGUGCCGGGUAGCCGGCCUGGGAGGGUGGACGGUCACACUGGGACUGAGACACGGCCCAGACUCCUGCGGGAGGCAGCAGUGGGUAAUAGUGCACAAUGGGCGCAAGCCUGAUGCAGCGACGCCGCGUGAGGGAUGGAGGCCUGCGGGUUGUGAACCUCUUUCGCCAGUGAAGCAGGCCUGCCUCGUUUGUGGGUGGGUUGACGGUAGCUGGAUAAGAAGCGCCGGCCAACUACGUG